AUUGAACGCUGGCGGCAGGCCUAACACAUGCAAGUCGAGCGAGCGGCGGACGGGUGAGUAAUGCAUGGGAAUUGCCCAGUCGAGGGGGAUAACAGUUGGAAAUGACUGCUAAAACCGCAUAAGAAUGGAUGGCUCAGGUGGGAUUAGCUAGUUGGGGAGGUAAUGGCUCACCAAGGCCACGAUCCCUAGCUGGUCUGAGAGGUUGAUCAACCACACUGGAACUCAGACACGGUCCAGACUCCUGCGGGAGGCAGCAGUGGGGAAUAUUGCACAAUGGAGGAAACCCUGAUGCAGCCAUGCCGCGUGUGUGAAGUAGGUCUUCGGGUUGUAAAGCACUUUCAGCGAGGAGGCGUUACUCGCAGAAGAAGCACCGGCUAACUCCGUGCCAGCAGCCGCGGUAAUUC
This 404-nucleotide ribosomal RNA is filed under the name uncultured bacterium. RNAcentral describes it as "partial 16S ribosomal RNA". It matches the Rfam family "Bacterial small subunit ribosomal RNA", at positions 30 to 526 of the family's 1533-position model. The record is from RNAcentral.